RNAcentral lists this long non-coding RNA (471 nucleotides) under Prunus dulcis (almond). Its description in RNAcentral is "sRNA ncRNA". The record is from RNAcentral. Lineage: Eukaryota; Viridiplantae; Streptophyta; Magnoliopsida; Rosales; Rosaceae.
ACAGAAGGCUAAAGCCAUGAUGAGCCAACAGAACACAAGAACAAAACUAACAAAAGCAGGGUCAGACAUAGCUAGAUUCCACCGGAGCCUAGAGCAACAGUCCCUACCCAUCAAACUAGCUACUAAAAGGAAAUAAAACUAGACAGCAGAUGCAACAUGAGGUGGACAAGGCAAACCAUCCGAAGUUUACACCCCAACAAGAGACAAUGGUGGUCUGUCGACCCAACUUUGCAGUUCCAUAGCUCUGUUACCUAUCGACGCCGCUGCAUGAGCAGCACGAUUUGCACUCCUAGGCAACCAUGACCAAGUCACCUCUUCGAAGUUCGAAACCACAGCAUGUAUUUCGUCAAUAAGAGGGAGGAUAGUCCAGGAGUUGUUACCAUGAUUUCCAGUAAUGCCAUCUAUUAACACCUUGCAAUCUGUCUCCAAGAUGACUUUCAGACAACCCCUGUUUUUAGCAAGAUGUAAAGC